GGGCGGUUAGCUCAGUCUGGGAGAGCGCCUGCCUUACAAGCAGGAUGUCACUGGUUCAAACCCAGUACCGCCCACCA
Molecule: transfer RNA, 77 nt
Filed under: bacterium
Lineage: Bacteria
Description: tRNA-Val
Rfam family: tRNA
About the family: Transfer RNA (tRNA) molecules are approximately 80 nucleotides in length.
Source: RNAcentral